RNAcentral lists this ribosomal RNA (236 nucleotides) under uncultured bacterium. RNAcentral describes it as "partial 16S ribosomal RNA". It matches the Rfam family "Bacterial small subunit ribosomal RNA", at positions 118 to 351 of the family's 1533-position model. The record is from RNAcentral.
CGAGUAACCUGCCCUUAACUCUGGGAUAAGCCUGGGAAACUGGGUCUAAUACCGGAUAUGACUCCUCAUCACAUGGGUGGGGGGUGGAAAGCUUUAUUGUGGUUUUGGAUGGACUCGCGGCCUAUCAGCUUGUUGGUGAGGUAAUGGCUCACCAAGGCGACGACGGGUAGCCGGCCUGAGAGGGUGACCGGCCACACUGGGACUGAGACACGGCCCAGACUCCGUACGGGAGGCAG